CGAGCAAGGACCAGCCCUAAGCUUGUACUUGCAUGUUUGAUAGGACUUCUCUCUUCGGUGGGCUACUGUUACCUUCAGAGAUGGGGUCUGGCCCUACCUCAGCCCCCUCACCUGCCUGUUAAAUGCCCUCUAUCAUCUUCCCUCAGGGUCUUCCUCUCAGGGCGGGGAAGACCUGAUGGGCGGUGGUGCACAUUGCCAGUGGCCUCCAUGGUACAGAUUCUGUUUUCUUCAGCCAUUGAGCUGUGUGACCAUAAUCUGUGUGGGUGGGACCCAGUCAGGCCGUUGGCAGUGCUGACUCUCCCCUUCCUGCCUUUCCCGCAUUUGGAGGUUCCCCAGUCCCCUAACUUGGGACUCCUGCCAGCUUCAGGUCAGCCGUGUCUUCUAAUC
This 387-nucleotide long non-coding RNA is filed under the name Rattus norvegicus (Norway rat). Its description in RNAcentral is "long non-coding RNA NONRATT017931". Lineage: Eukaryota; Metazoa; Chordata; Mammalia; Rodentia; Muridae. The record is from RNAcentral.